RNAcentral lists this ribosomal RNA (468 nucleotides) under uncultured bacterium. RNAcentral's name for it is "partial 16S ribosomal RNA". It matches the Rfam family "Bacterial small subunit ribosomal RNA", at positions 28 to 507 of the family's 1533-position model. The record is from RNAcentral.
GACGAACGCUGGCGGCGUGCUUAACACAUGCAAGUCGAACGGAAAGGCCCUGCUUUUGUGGGGUGCUCGAGUGGCGCGCGGGUGAGUAACACGUGAGUAACCUGCCCUUGACUUUGGGAUAACUUCAGGAAACUGGGGCUAAUACCGGAUAGGAGCUCCUGCUGCAUGGUGGGGGUUGGAAAGUUUCGGCGGUUGGGGAUGGACUCGCGGCUUAUCAGCUUGUUGGUGGGGUAGUGGCUUACCAAGGCUUUGACGGGUAGCCGGCCUGAGAGGGUGACCGGCCACAUUGGGACUGAGAUACGGCCCAGACUCCUACGGGAGGCAGCAGUGGGGAAUAUUGCACAAUGGGCGGAAGCCUGAUGCAGCAACGCCGCGUGCGGGAUGACGGCCUUCGGGUUGUAAACCGCUUUCGCCUGUGACGAAGCGUGAGUGACGGUAAUGGGUAAAGAAGCACCGGCUAACUACGUG